AACGAACGCUGGCGGCAUGCCUAACACAUGCAAGUCGAACGAGACCUUCGGGUCUAGUGGCGCACGGGUGCGUAACGCGUGGGGACCUGCCCUUAGGUUCGGAAUAACUCCCCGAAAGGGGUGCUAAUACCGGAUAAUGUCUUCGGACCAAAGAUUUAUCGCCUUUGGAUGGGCCCGCGUUGGAUUAGCUAGUUGGUAGGGUAAAAGCCUACCAAGGCGUCGAUCCAUAGCUGGUCUGAGAGGAUGAUCAGCCACACUGGGACUGAGACACGGCCCAGACUCCUACGGGAGGCAGCAGUGGGGAAUAUUGGACAAUGGGCGAAAGCCUGAUCCAGCAAUGCCGCGUGAGUGAUGAAGGCCUUAGGGUUGUAAAGCUCUUUUACCCGGGAUGAUAAUGACAGUACCGGGAGAAUAAGCUCCGGCUAACUCCGUG
Molecule: ribosomal RNA, 433 nt
Filed under: uncultured bacterium
Lineage: Bacteria
Description: partial 16S ribosomal RNA
Rfam family: Bacterial small subunit ribosomal RNA
Source: RNAcentral